AGUGAACGCUGGCGGUAGGCCUAACACAUGCAAGUCGAACGGCAGCACAGUAAGAGCUUGCUCUUACGGGUGGCGAGUGGCGGACGGGUGAGGAAUACAUCGGAAUCUACUUUUUCGUGGGGGAUAACGUAGGGAAACUUACGCUAAUACCGCAUACGACCUACGGGUGAAAGCAGGGGAUCUUCGGACCUUGCGCGAUUGAAUGAGCCGAUGUCGGAUUAGCUAGUUGGCGGGGUAAAGGCCCACCAAGGCGACGAUCCGUAGCUGGUCUGAGAGGAUGAUCAGCGACACUGGAACUGAGACACGGUCCAGACUCCUACGGGAGGCAGCAGUGGGGAAUAGUGGACAAAGGGCGCAAGCCUGAUCCAGCCAUACCGCGUGGGUGAAGAAGGCCUUCGGGUUGUAAAGCCCUUUUGUUGGGAAAGAAAAGCAGCAGGUUAAUACCCCGCUGUUCUGACGGUACCCAAAGAAUAAGCACCGGCUAACUUCGUG
This 492-nucleotide ribosomal RNA is filed under the name uncultured bacterium. Its description in RNAcentral is "partial 16S ribosomal RNA". It matches the Rfam family "Bacterial small subunit ribosomal RNA", at positions 29 to 507 of the family's 1533-position model. The record is from RNAcentral.